Molecule: ribosomal RNA, 945 nt
Filed under: Actinomyces sp. YACS-36
Lineage: Bacteria; Bacillati; Actinomycetota; Actinomycetes; Actinomycetales; Actinomycetaceae
Description: bacterial SSU rRNA
Rfam family: Bacterial small subunit ribosomal RNA
Source: RNAcentral
UGGUGGGAUGUAAUGGGCGCAGCCUGAUGCAGCGACGCCGCGUGAGGGAUGACGGCCUUCGGGUUGUAAACCUCUUUCAGUAGGGAAGAAGCGAAAGUGACGGUACCUGCAGAAGAAGCGCCGGCUAACUACGUGCCAGCAGCCGCGGUAAUACGUAGGGCGCAAGCGUUAUCCGGAAUUAUUGGGCGUAAAGAGCUCGUAGGCGGUUUGUCGCGUCUGCCGUGAAAGUCCGGGGCUCAACUCCGGAUCUGCGGUGGGUACGGGCAGACUAGAGUGAUGUAGGGGAGACUGGAAUUCCUGGUGUAGCGGUGAAAUGCGCAGAUAUCAGGAGGAACACCGAUGGCGAAGGCAGGUCUCUGGGCAUUAACUGACGCUGAGGAGCGAAAGCAUGGGGAGCGAACAGGAUUAGAUACCCUGGUAGUCCAUGCCGUAAACGUUGGGCACUAGGUGUGGGGGACAUUCCACGUUUUCCGCGCCGUAGCUAACGCAUUAAGUGCCCCGCCUGGGGAGUACGGCCGCAAGGCUAAAACUCAAAGGAAUUGACGGGGGCCCGCACAAGCGGCGGAGCAUGCGGAUUAAUUCGAUGCAACGCGAAGAACCUUACCAAGGCUUGACAUGGACCGGACCGGGCUGGAAACAGUCCUUCCCCUUUGGGGCCGGUUCACAGGUGGUGCAUGGUUGUCGUCAGCUCGUGUCGUGAGAUGUUGGGUUAAGUCCCGCAACGAGCGCAACCCUCGUUCCAUGUUGCCAGCGCGUAAUGGCGGGGACUCAUGGGAGACUGCCGGGGUCAACUCGGAGGAAGGUGGGGACGACGUCAAAUCAUCAUGCCCCUUAUGUCUUGGGCUUCACGCAUGCUACAAUGGCCCGGUACAAAGGGUUGCGAUACUGUGAGGUGAGCUAAUCCCAAAAAGCCGGUCUCAGUUCGGAUUGGGGUCUGCAACUCGA